This 301-nucleotide ribosomal RNA is filed under the name uncultured bacterium. RNAcentral's name for it is "partial 16S ribosomal RNA". It matches the Rfam family "Bacterial small subunit ribosomal RNA", at positions 509 to 807 of the family's 1533-position model. The record is from RNAcentral.
CAGUAGCCACGGUAAUACGUAGGUGGCAAGCGUUGUCCGGAAUUAUUGGGCGUAAAGGGCUCGCAGGCGGUUUCUUAAGUCUGAUGUGAAAGCCCCCGGCUCAACCGGGGAGGGUCAUUGGAAACUGGGAAACUUGAGUGCAGAAGAGGAGAGUGGAAUUCCACGUGCAGCGGUGAAAUGCGUAGAGAUGUGGAGGAACACCAGUGGUGAAGGCGACUCUCUGGUCUGUAACUGACGCUGAGGAGCGAAAGCGUGGGGAGCGAACAGGAUUAGAUACCCCCGUAGUCCCUGUCUCUUAUAC